Molecule: ribosomal RNA, 380 nt
Filed under: Albinaria arthuriana
Lineage: Eukaryota; Metazoa; Mollusca; Gastropoda; Stylommatophora; Clausiliidae
Description: partial large subunit ribosomal RNA
Source: RNAcentral
AAAGGUAGCAUAAUCAUUUGACUUUUAAAUGGAGCCUAGAAUGAAAGAAAGAACGUAGACAAUUUGUCUCAUUAAUAAUAAUUCAAAAUUACUGCAUGAGUGAAAAUACUCAUAAAUUUAAAAAUAGACGAGAAGACCCUUAGAAUUUUAAAAAUAAAUAAAAAUAUUUUAUAAGGUUUUUUGUUGGGGCAACAAUAUUUCAUGUAAUAAAUAUGAUUCAUUGAAUAAUAGAGCGAUUUAGAUAAUUAUAGUAAAAUUACCUAAGGGAUAACAGCAUAAUUUUAAUGAUAAGCUUGUGACCUCGAUGUUGGACUAGGUACUAUUAAGGCUAAUCGUUUUAAUAUAAUAUGUUCUGUUCGAACUUUACUACCUACAUGAUC